AAAUCUCAGGGGGUACUUACUGGCUAAUCCAUUUCCGUCCUUUUAUGAAUUUUUUUAUCCUGUGAUCAGAUUUAUUACAGAAUGCUUUUAAUUUGUUGUGUUUAAAAAUAUUUAAUUUCAACCUUUAGUUUAUGUAUACAUUUUCAAAACUACAUUUCAUUAAGUUAAAUAUGUCUCUAGUAUGUUGUUUCUUUAUAUUAUUAAAAAACAUUUUCGAGUUGUAGUUAGUGAUUUCCAUCCUUAAUUUGGGAAUGUAGGUUUUGGCUUUUUAGUUCAGUAACUCAACAUUUUCAACACUUAAAAGUAUGGAGACUGUUUUUUAAAUAGCAUUUAUUUAACAUUAAUAUAAUGCAGCAUAAGAGACAGUUAUAAAUUUAGGGAGAUUUCUUUUUAGAUUGCUGGGUGUUGGGAGUUGGCAGUUGUUGAAAUGAAAUUUAUAGUAGAUUCUAAUGAUUGCAUGAAUUGCUUUUACAAGUAGUAUUAUCUAUUAAAAAAAGCAUGCGAUUUUAAAUGUUGCUUGUUUUUAAGUAAUUUUUUUAAGAAUUGAAUAUCUGAUUUUGAAGUCACACACUAAACACAUUUUAUUGUUAUUUCUGAUAUUUGUCUUUAUAGACCCUUAUAGUUGCCUGGAUCAAAGCAAACCUAAAUGUGUACAUCUCCCGAGAACUUUGGGAUGACUUACUGUCAGUAUUGUCAUCGUUGACCUAUUGGGAAGAGUUGGCCACUGAGUGGUCACUGACUAUGGAGACAUUAACUAAAGUUUUAGCUAGGAAUUUAUAUAGUUUGGAUCUCAGUGAUUUACCAUUGGAUAAGCUGAGUGAACAGAAACAAAAAAAGCACAAAGGGAAAGGAGUUGGACAUGAAUUUCAGAAAGUUUCAGUUGACAAGUCAUUUUCUAGAGGAUGGAGUCGUGAUCAGCCUGGCCAAGCCCCAAUGAGACAGAGGAGUGCAACAACCACUGGUUCUCCAGGAACCGAAAAGGCGAGGAGUAUAGUACGGCAAAAAACUGUCGAUAUUGAUGAUGCUCAAAUACUUCCCCGCUCAACUAGAGUCAGACAUUUUUCACAAAGUGAAGAAACUGGAAAUGAAGUUUUUGGUGCUUUGAAUGAGGAGCAGCCAUUGCCUCGAAGUAGCAGCACUUCUGACAUCUUGGAACCAUUCACUGUUGAACGAGCCAAAGUCAAUAAAGAGGACAUGAGCCAAAAACUGCCUCCUCUUAAUAGUGAUAUUGGCAGCAGCAGUGCUAAUGUUCCUGAUCUGAUGGAUGAGUUUAUAGCAGAACGACUUCGAAGUGGUAAUGCCUCG
RNAcentral lists this small RNA (1305 nucleotides) under Pan troglodytes (chimpanzee). RNAcentral's name for it is "retained intron". The record is from RNAcentral. Lineage: Eukaryota; Metazoa; Chordata; Mammalia; Primates; Hominidae.